This 20-nucleotide microRNA is filed under the name Mus musculus (house mouse). RNAcentral describes it as "mmu-miR-1982-5p". Lineage: Eukaryota; Metazoa; Chordata; Mammalia; Rodentia; Muridae. The record is from miRBase by way of RNAcentral.
UUGGGAGGGUCCUGGGGAGG